AAUGUACAACUUUAGAUUUCUUGCAGUGUCAAUGCUGCUAGAUCCUAGGUUUAAGAAAGUAGCAUUCGGCAUUGAUGCAAAUGCAGAAAAUGCUAUACGAGCAUUGACAUCAGAGGCCAGCCAGCAUAAUGCGGAAUCCCAACCAGAGGCAACAACUUCACAGCACAUACAACAAACUGGGGCUAGUUGUGUGUGGUCUGAUUUUGACUCGAAGGUAAAACAGCAAAUAAACACUAAUGUGGAUACCAUCACUGAAGUGAAAUUGUACCUCUCGCAGCCAAAUAUUAGCAGAAUGUCUUCGGCAUUGGACUUUUGGAAAGAACAGGGACAAAAGUUCCCAAACUUACAGACACUUACAAAGAAAUACUUGGCCAUAAUGGCAACAUCUGUGCCAAGUGAGCGUGUAUUUUCGAAAUCUGGCGAGCUUAUUUCAAAACGCCGCUCUUGCCUAAAGAGCUCUCAGGUGAAAAGGAUGAUGUUUUUGCAUUACAAUAUGUAAUUGGUCUAGGUUAUGAGUGUGUUGAGGCCUAAAAAGGUUCUGUGUGUAAAGGCCUAAGAAAAGAUUUUAUGUGUGAAGGCCUAAAAGGUUCCGUGUGUAAAGGCUUAAAAAAAGAUUUUAUGUGUUAAGGCCUAAAAGGUUCCGUGUGUAAAGGCCUAAAAAAAGAUUUUAUGUGUGAAGGCCUAAACGGUUCUGUGUGUAAAGGCCUAAAAAAAGAUUUUAUGUGUGAAGGCCUAAAAGGUUCCGUGUGUAAAGGCUUAAAAAAAGAUUUUAUGUGUUAAGGCCUAAAAGGUUCCGUGUGUGAAGGCCUAAAAGGUUCCGUGUGUAAAGGCCUAAAAAAAGAUUUUAUGUGUGAAGGCCUAAAAGGUUCCGUGUGUAAAGGCUUAAAAAAAGAUUUUAUGUGUUAAAUCCUAAAAGGUUCCGUGUGUGAAGGCCUAAAAGGUUCCAUGUGUAAAGGCCUAAAAAGAUUUUGUGUAUGGCCUAAAAGGUUCCAUGUGUAAAGGCCUAAAAAAAGGUUCCAUGUGUAAAGGCCUAAAAGGUUCCAUGUGUAAAGGCCUAAAAAGAUUUUGUGUAUGGCCUAAAAGGUUCCAUGUGUAAAGGCCUAAAAGGUUCCAUGUGUAAAGGCCUAAAAAGAUUUUGUGUAUGGCCUAAAAGGUUCCAUGUGUAAAGGCCUAAAAAAAGGUUCCAUGUGUAAAGGCCUAAAAGGUUCCAUGUGUAAAGGCCUAAAAAGAUUUUGUGUAUGGCCUAAAAGGUUCCAUGUGUAAAGGCCUAAAAAAGAUUUUAUGUGUUAAGGCCUAAAAGGUUCCGUGUGUAAAGGCCUAAAAGGUUCCAUGUGUAAAGGCCUAAAAAGAUUUUGUGUAUGGCCUAAAAGGUUCCAUGUGUAAAGGCCUAAAAAAAGUUUUAUUUAUUAAAAGGACACGCUACUUUUUUGAAAAUAUGCUCAUUUUACAGCUCCCAUAGUGUUAAACAUUUCAUUUUUACUGUUUUGGAAUGCAUUCAGUUGAUCUUCGGGUCUGGCGGUACCACUUUUAUCAUAGCUUAGCAUAAUCCAUUGAAUCAGAUUAGACCAUUAGCAUCAUGCUCAAAAAUGACGAAAGUUGCUCAAUAUUUUUCCUAUUUAACACUUGACUGUUUUAGAAGAGUCAAGUUUUAAAUAGGAAAAAUAUCAAAACUCUUUGGUUAUUUUUUAGCACGAUUCUAAUGGUCUAAUCAGAUUAAAUGGGUUAUGCUAAACUAUGAUAAAAGUGGUACUGCCAAAACCGUAAAAAUCAAAUGUUUAACUCUAUGGGAGCUGGAAAAUGAGCAUAUUUUCAAAAAGUGAAGUGUUCUGUGUGUAAGGGCAUAAAAGUUUGUAUGUGUAAUGAGUCUGUUCCUGAACUGUUUUUAGGUUUAAAUGCUUUUAGGAAUUUUUGCUAUUUUAUGAUAUUGGAUGAAAUAUAUGUAGGCUGCCACAAAUAAAUUAAAAAUCUAUCCACAAA
This is a non-coding RNA of Misgurnus anguillicaudatus (oriental weatherfish), 1977 nucleotides long. Lineage: Eukaryota; Metazoa; Chordata; Actinopteri; Cypriniformes; Cobitidae. The record is from RefSeq and is a predicted model, not a curated record.